This 253-nucleotide ribosomal RNA is filed under the name uncultured bacterium. RNAcentral describes it as "partial 16S ribosomal RNA". It matches the Rfam family "Bacterial small subunit ribosomal RNA", at positions 524 to 776 of the family's 1533-position model. The record is from RNAcentral.
UACGUAGGUGGCGAGCGUUGUCCGGAUUUACUGGGCGUAAAGGGAGCGUAGGCGGGCUUUUAAGUGAGAUGUGAAAUACUCGGGCUCAACUUGAGUGCUGCAUUUCAAACUGGAAGUCUAGAGUGCAGGAGAGGAGAAUGGAAUUCCUAAUGUAGCGGUGAAAUGCGUAGAGAUUAGGAAGAACACCAGUGGCGAAGGCGAUUCUCUGGACUGUAACUGACGCUGAGGCUCGAAAGCGUGGGGAGCAAACAGG